RNAcentral lists this ribosomal RNA (468 nucleotides) under uncultured bacterium. RNAcentral describes it as "partial 16S ribosomal RNA". It matches the Rfam family "Bacterial small subunit ribosomal RNA", at positions 28 to 507 of the family's 1533-position model. The record is from RNAcentral.
GACGAACGCUGGCGGCGUGCUUAACACAUGCCAGUCGAACGGAAAGGCCCUGCUUCUGUGGGGUGCUCGAGUGGCGAACGGGUGAGUAACACGUGAGUAACCUGCCCUUGACUUUGGGAUAACUUCAGGAAACUGGGGCUAAUACCGGAUAGGAGCUCCUGCUGCAUGGUGGGGGUUGGAAAGUUUCGGCGGUUGGGGAUGGACGCGCGGCUUAUCAGUUUGUUGGUGGGGUAGUGGCUUACCAAGGCUUUGACGGGUAGCCGGCCUGGGAGGGUGACCGGCCACAUUGCGACUGAGAUACGCCCCAGACUCCUACGGGAGGCAGCAGUGGGGAAUAUUGCACAAUGGGCGGAAGCCUGAGGCAGCAACGCCGCGUUCGGGAUGACGGCCUUCGGGUUGUAAACCGCUUUCGCCUGUGACGAAGCGUGAGUGACGGUAAUGGGUAAAGAAGCACCGGCUAACUACGUG